GACGAACGCUGGCGGCGUGCCUAAUACAUGCCAGUUGAGCGCUGAAGGUUGGUACUUGUACCAACUGGAUGAGCAGCGAACGGGUGAGUAACGCGUGGGGAAUCUGCCUUUGAGCAGGGGACAACAUUUGGAAACGAAUGCUAAUACCGCAUAAAAACUUUAAACACAAGUUUUAAGUUUGAAAGAUGCAAUUGCAUCACUCAAAGAUGAUCCCGCGUUGUAUUAGCUAGUUGGUGAGGUAAAGGCUCACCAAGGCGAUGAUACAUAGCCGACCUGAGAGGGUGAUCGGCCACAUUGGGACUGAGACACGGCCCAAACUCCUACGGGAGGCAGCAGUAGGGAAUCUUCGGCAAUGGACGAAAGUCUGACCGAGCAACGCCGCGUGAGUGAAGAAGGUUUUCGGAUCGUAAAACUCUGUUGGUAGAGAAGAACGUUGGUGAGAGUGGAAAGCUCACCAAGUGACGGUAACUACACAGAAAGGGACGGCUAACUACGUG
This 497-nucleotide ribosomal RNA is filed under the name uncultured bacterium. RNAcentral describes it as "partial 16S ribosomal RNA". It matches the Rfam family "Bacterial small subunit ribosomal RNA", at positions 28 to 507 of the family's 1533-position model. The record is from RNAcentral.